Molecule: ribosomal RNA, 451 nt
Filed under: uncultured bacterium
Lineage: Bacteria
Description: partial 16S ribosomal RNA
Rfam family: Bacterial small subunit ribosomal RNA
Source: RNAcentral
AACGAACGCUGGCGGCAGGCUUAACACAUGCAAGUCGAACGCGUGUAGCAAUACACGAGUGGCGCACGGGUGAGUAACGCGUGGAUAUCUGCCUUCUGGUUCGGAAUAACCCCGGGAAACUGGGGCUAAUACCGAAUGGUUCCUACGGGAUAAAGAUUUAUCGCCAGAAGAUGAGUCCGCGUCCGAUUAGCUAGUUGGUGAGGUAACGGCUCACCAAGGCGACGAUCGGUAGCUGGUCUGAGAGGACGAUCAGCCACACUGGGACUGAGACACGGCCCAGACUCCUACGGGAGGCAGCAGUGGGGAAUAUUGGACAAUGGGGGCAACCCUGAUACAGCCAUGCCGCGUGAGUGAUGAAGGCCUCCGGGUUGUAAAGCUCUUUUGGCGGGGACGAUGAUGACGGUACCCGCAGAAUAAGCCCCGGCUAACUUCGUGCCAGCAGCCGCAGUAA